This 897-nucleotide ribosomal RNA is filed under the name Pleurophragmium septatum. RNAcentral's name for it is "Neomyrmecridium septatum partial 28S ribosomal RNA". It matches the Rfam family "Eukaryotic large subunit ribosomal RNA", at positions 38 to 968 of the family's 3401-position model. Lineage: Eukaryota; Fungi; Ascomycota; Sordariomycetes. The record is from RNAcentral.
GCAUAUCAAUAAGCGGAGGAAAAGAAACCAACAGGGAUUGCCCUAGUAACGGCGAGUGAAGCGGCAACAGCUCAAAUUUGAAAUCUGGCUCACGCCCGAAUUGUAAUUUGUAGAGGAUGCUUUUGGUGCGGUGCCUUCUGAGUUCCCUGGAACGGGACGCCGAAGAGGGUGAGAGCCCCGUAUAGUCGGACACCAAGCCUUUGUAAAGCUCCUUCGACGAGUCGAGUAGUUUGGGAAUGCUGCUCAAAAUGGGAGGUAAAUGCCUUCUAAAGCUAAAUACCGGCCAGAGACCGAUAGCGCACAAGUAGAGUGAUCGAAAGAUGAAAAGCACUUUGAAAAGAGGGUUAAAUAGUACGUGAAAUUGUUGAAAGGGAAGCGCUCAUGACCAGACUUGCGCCCUGUGAAUCACCCAGCGUUCUCGCUGGUGCACUUCGCUAGGUUCAGGCCAGCAUCGAUUUUCUUAGGGGGAUAAAAGUGACGGGAACGUAGCUCUUUCGGGAGUGUUAUAGCCCGCUGCAGAAUACCUCUGAGGGGAUCGAGGACCGCGCUUCGGCAAGGAUGCUGGCGUAAUGGUCAUCAGCGACCCGUCUUGAAACACGGACCAAGGAGUCAAGCAUUAGGGCGAGUGUUUGGGUGUCAAACCCGCACGCGAAAUGAAAGUGAAUGUAGGUGAGAGCUUCGGCGCAUCAUCGACCGAUCCUGAUGUAUUCGGAUGGAUUUGAGUAAGAGCCUUACCGCUUGGACCCGAAAGAUGGUGAACUAUGCUUGGAUAGGGUGAAGCCAGAGGAAACUCUGGUGGAGGCUCGCAGCGGUUCUGACGUGCAAAUCGAUCGUCAAAUCUGAGCAUGGGGGCGAAAGACUAAUCGAACCAUCUAGUAGCUGGUUACCGCCGAAGUU